This 336-nucleotide long non-coding RNA is filed under the name Capsella rubella. Its description in RNAcentral is "long non-coding RNA (CRUB_LNC002708)". Lineage: Eukaryota; Viridiplantae; Streptophyta; Magnoliopsida; Brassicales; Brassicaceae. The record is from RNAcentral.
UCAUCACUCUCUCCCUCUGCCUCUCUUUCGUAAUUCUCACUUUUGUACAUCAUUUUUAAAAAAUGGAGUUAUUGUCUCCCAACAACAGUUCUAGGAGAACCAAGCAAUGGCUUCCUCCGAGAAGAGGACAGGUCAAGCUUAUGAUCGUUCGCAAACUCCUCAAAUCCACGGCUUCGGUCGCUUCACUGUGGAAGAGACGAGAUUGUUAAAUAAUUUUUUGUUUUUGUUUGUUAUGUUUCCAUGUUACUUAUGUACAUAAGAUAGAUGUAAUAUCAUGUGUGAACAAAAGUUUUGGUGGACUUGUAAAAUAUUAUUGUAAUAAUACGAAUAUUUCUA